RNAcentral lists this long non-coding RNA (1466 nucleotides) under Homo sapiens (human). RNAcentral describes it as "non-protein coding JPX:2". The stretch from base 61 to 195 matches the Rfam family "JPX transcript, XIST activator conserved region 1". Lineage: Eukaryota; Metazoa; Chordata; Mammalia; Primates; Hominidae. The record is from RNAcentral.
GCUGGGCGCCGGGCCUGUUUGGCUGUGACGCCCACCCCCGGCUUUCAUCCGCCUAUGCCCUAGGGCUAGUGGAAGACUUAAGAUGGCGGCGUUUGCACGGAGUGCAAUCACUGCGUCCUUACGGGGGUUGCAAGGCGUCCGAAGUAUGAGUCCACUAACAAAAGUCCAGAAACUCGCCAGUUAAUAGUAUUGUGUCUCUUCAAAAUAUCGGAGAAUAAUUUCUUUCUCGCUGAUCGCCUAACUUCUACUGACGAAGCUUGGAAGUUGCAGAAGUUUCUUCAAAGGAAAGAAGCAACUGGAACACACAUAUAACACUAACCCUUCCAGCUGCAUUAUGAGGGACCAGUACCUGUCUCAAGGCAAAAUUAUGACUUAGUUCAUCCUCACCUCUGGAGGCCAGUAAAAGUGGGUUAUAGAAGAACAAAGAGGCAUCUAGAUCUUUCACUGGGUUAUUUGGAGAGAAACAUCUCCUACCGAAGGCCAGUUUAACAAGACUGGUAGAGGAGGUUAUCUUAUCUAAUUCACAGAAAUCAACACAUUGAGUCAAGAAAAAUGAAACACAGAAACACUCUAAAUAAAAGAAGAUAAGUCUUCAGAAACCAACCCUAAUGAAAUGAAGAUAUGUGAUUAACCUGACAGGAAAUUAAAAAGAGCAACCAUAAAGAGUCUCAUGGGAGCAAUGCAUGAACAAACUGAGAAUUUUCAUAAAGAAAUAAAAGAUAACAAAAAGUAUAAAGUUGAAGAAUACAAUAACUGGACUCAAAAAUUUAAUGUGUCCAACAGAAGAAUCGAUGAAGCAGAAGAAAGGGCUAUCAAACUUGUAGAUAGGCCAUUGGAAAUCAUGUAAUGUGAGGAGAAAAAAGAAAAAAGAUUGAAGAUAGUUUAAGAGACUUUUGAGACAUCCUCAAAGGGGAAUAAUUUAUACAUUACCAGAUGGAGAAGAUAGAGGGAAAAGGACAGAAAACAUAUUUGAAGAAAUAAUGUCAGAAAACCUCAUAAUUCUGGCAAGGAAAUAGAAAUUUAGAUCUAAGAAUCUCGAACAUCAGGUAUGAUGAAUCCAAGGAGACUCACACCAAACCAUAUUGUAAUUAAAUAAAGGUUAAAGACAAUCUUCAGAGCAGCAAGGGAAUAGUCUCUUCUUACAUACAAAAUGAUCCACGGAAGACUGUCAGCAGACUUCACCAGAAAACUUUCACGCCAGAAGGCAGUCGUGAUAUAUACAAAAAGCUGAAAGGAAAACACUGCCAUCCAGGAAUACUAUCUCCAACUAUCCUGUGUUUCAAAAAUUAAGGAGAAAUAUAAAGUUCUCAAACAAAAGAUGUGGGAGUUUACCACCACUAGACCUGCACGGGAAGAAUUGCUAAAGGGAGUCCUUCAAGCUGUAGUAAAAGAGUGCUAAUUAGAAACAUGAAAACGUGAGUAUAAAACUCGCUGAUAAAAGUAAGUACAUAGUUGGCUGGGUGCGG